RNAcentral lists this ribosomal RNA (253 nucleotides) under uncultured bacterium. Its description in RNAcentral is "partial 16S ribosomal RNA". It matches the Rfam family "Bacterial small subunit ribosomal RNA", at positions 524 to 776 of the family's 1533-position model. The record is from RNAcentral.
UACGGGGGGGGCAAGCGUUGUUCGGAAUUACUGGGCGUAAAGGGCUCGUAGGCGGCCAACUAAGUCGGACGUGAAAUCCCCAGGCUCAACCUGGGAACUGCGUCCGAUACUGGAUGGCUUGAAUCCGGGAGAGGGAUGCAGAAUUCCAGGUGUAGCGGUGAAAUGCGUAGAUAUCAAGAGGAACACCAGUGGCGAAGGCGAAUCCCUGGACAACACCUGACACUGAGGCACGAAAGCUAGGGGAGCAAACGGG